Molecule: ribosomal RNA, 442 nt
Filed under: uncultured bacterium
Lineage: Bacteria
Description: partial 16S ribosomal RNA
Rfam family: Bacterial small subunit ribosomal RNA
Source: RNAcentral
CCUACGGGAGGCUGCAGUGGGGAAUAUUGGGCAAUGGGCGAAAGCCUGACCCAGCAACGCCGCGUGAAGGAAGAAGGCUUUCGGGUUGUAAACUUCUUUUGACAGGGAAGAGCAGAAGACGGUACCUGUCGAAUAAGCCACGGCUAACUACGUGCCAGCAGCCGCGGUAAUACGUAGGUGGCAAGCGUGUUCCGGAUUUACUGGGGGUAAAGGGCGUGUAGCCGGGCUGACAAGUCAGAUGUGAAGUCCGGGGGCUCAACCCCCGAACUGCAUUUGAAACUGUUGGUCUUGAGUAUCGGAGAGGCAGGCGGAAUUCCUAGUGUAGCGGUGAAAUGCGUAGAUAUUAGGAGGAACACCAGUGGCGAAGGCGGCCUGCUGGACGACAACUGACGGUGAGGCGCGAAAGCGUGGGGAGCAAACAGGAUUAGAUACCCCUGUAGUC